UACGGAGGAUCCGAGCGUUAUCCGGAUUUAUUGGGUUUAAAGGGUGCGCAGGCGGGGGAUUAAGUCGGCGGUGAAAUUUUGCAGCUCAACUGUAAAAGUGCCUUCGAAACUGGUUUCCUUGAGUGUAGAUGAAGUAGGCGGAAUUUGUGGUGUAGCGGUGAAAUGCUUAGAUAUCACACAGAAUAUCGAUUGCGAAGGCAGCUCACAAAGCCAAGAUUGACGCUGAGGCACGAAAGUGUGGGGAGCAAACAGGAUUAGAUACCCU
This 265-nucleotide ribosomal RNA is filed under the name uncultured prokaryote. RNAcentral describes it as "partial 16S ribosomal RNA". It matches the Rfam family "Bacterial small subunit ribosomal RNA", at positions 524 to 788 of the family's 1533-position model. The record is from RNAcentral.